ACAACAUAGUAACAAUUUUCGGAUGUUCGCACUUCAAAUACUCACCCUAUAAGUAUACUUGUAUACGCACAUAUGUUUGCGUCAAGAGUCUUACAGUUUUCCACUGUUUAGUUAUCCAAAAAAGAAUUCAAAUAUGUCUGCUGUGCACAAUGUCUGGCUUUUCUACAUUUCGAUCGUUUUCGCAAUUUGUAGAGCUGAAGGAAAACCAAACGUACAGAUUCCUUUACUGGAUAAUAAUAAAGCUCCUCUAUAUGCUAACUUUAAUAUGUCAGGUCUAAAUCAACAACUGAGGAAGAUCUUUAAACAGGAAGUCGAGCGCAUUAUACAGAAUACAGUUAAUGUGAGCUGCGAAGAACUAUACCAGAAGAUAGGGAAAGGCUGUUAUUCUAUUCACGAUGACAACAUAUCUGGUGAUGCAGCAUUUGCGAGCUGUACAGACCCUGGUGCAUACCUUGCUAAUUUUGAAACUCUUGAAGAAGCCAUGAUCAUGAAAUUGUUCCUUCAGAAGAAGAAUUCAGGUA
This is a long non-coding RNA of Mytilus californianus (California mussel), 521 nucleotides long. RefSeq lists it as uncharacterized. NCBI's taxonomy places the organism in Eukaryota, Metazoa, Mollusca, Bivalvia, Mytilida, Mytilidae. The transcript has 3 exons. The record is from RefSeq and is a predicted model, not a curated record.